This 408-nucleotide long non-coding RNA is filed under the name Olea europaea subsp. europaea. The record is from RNAcentral. Lineage: Eukaryota; Viridiplantae; Streptophyta; Magnoliopsida; Lamiales; Oleaceae.
AUAAGGUUCAUCGCAAAUCCUAGCACGAAAAGAUCCAGCCUAACAUAACGGCAAAAUUAAAUAAAUAAAAGUGGAACGACAUCACCAAUAAUUGACGAAACGUGAUCAACAUCCAAAUUCCUUUUACAAAGAAAUCUGAAAUUAUUCCUUCAGCAGCCUUCUGUUCAUCUCCAAUUCUAUGCGUGAAUAUAUAUAUAAUCUUCCAAAUCAGCCGCCCACUUUUGUAUUUCCAUUCCAGCUGCUGACCUCUCAAGUUGUUUUGUAUAUGAUAUACACAAUUCAGCACUUCAAUUUCUUUAAUUCCAGCCACCUUUUUGUGCAUAUAAUAUUCCAAUUCCCAUCUCCUUGCUAUGGCUUUCUGUGGGUGUGUCAAUAUAUAAUUCAACUUUUGCAACCCACUUAAUUCAC